Neofelis nebulosa (Clouded leopard) is the source of this 2545-nucleotide long non-coding RNA. RefSeq lists it as uncharacterized. NCBI's taxonomy places the organism in Eukaryota, Metazoa, Chordata, Mammalia, Carnivora, Felidae. The record is from RefSeq and is a predicted model, not a curated record. The transcript is spliced from 2 exons.
UUAGGGGGGCUCCCGGAUCUGGCAAGGCCGGACUCCGCCGGUCUAAACAGCUCGGCCGCGGCCAGGCGGCUGCCACCGCGGUGAAGCCGGGCGGCAGCCCAGAAGGGGUCCCCUUCCCGCCGACACGGCACCCACUCCCAGCUGGCUCGGUCGACACCUCUGAGAACCCACUCGUAGAAAGGUGCACCCCCAGUGAGUCGGACACUAUUCCUUCCAUCUCCCCCUUGCCUGGGACAUUAGUGUGACGUGUGACCCAUCUGCCAUUGGCUUCAGUGUGCUGUUCCCGUGUUGUUUAUUCAGAGACGUCAUCGCACACACGGCCGGCUCGGGUGAGAACCCCCACAGCGAGCCUGUGUUAGAUUAGUGGGAAGACAGUGGCAGUCUCCGAGGGCGGUUUGCCUCAGACAAAAGAACCCUCUUCCCAGUGGGGACAUGUGGCGGCUUUGGGUCCCUGGGGUGCCACACGGAGGUCCCGCUACACCGCCCACUUUGCUUCCAGAAAACAGCCCCGAGCCCCAGGUCCCCAACCCUGCCCUCUGCGCCCCUCCCUUCAGCCUGUGUGGUUUGGACGGUUCUCCUCCCGUGACUCCUCCCUUGUGCUCCCUGAGCCGCGUUCCCUGCCCGUGGGGUCCCGGAGUCGCAGCUGCCCACGCCCAGGCGCCCCCGUGCUUCCCUGGCGGCCUGCGGACAGUCCACACCACCUCAGAGAGGCCCCCAGAAGAAACGGUGAGGGCAGCGAGUGCUGGCGAGAAGCCAAAGCAGCGGAGCCCUCUGGGGGCCGGUGCCGCUGGGAACACUCAGCCCUGCAAACACAGUGGACGGUGGGACCCGACACGGCCCUCCCGGACCUUCAUCCAGGAAGACGACGAGCUACGUGAUCAGGCACAAAACCCCGUCUGCGAACACGGACAGCAGCUCUAUCCGCAACAGCUCUGAGGCAGAGGGUCCCAGAUGUCCUUCCAGAGGCACGCGGUCACGUUAACGUGCGUCCCCAGCACAGGACCGCACUGCCCCCACAAGAAUGGCGCUGAGUAGAAAGUCAGUCUCCAUUUACAUCUAAUCCUCAAAACGACAGUUUGGCUGCAGAGCCGGCCGGCGGUUGGGGCUCGGGUGCCGGAGGGCGGGGGGAAGCAGCGUGGUGCCCAUGGAGCUGGUGGCACCGGUCCGCAUGGUGACAGCAGCGCGGGUCACGCCCACAGGGCGGAGAGAGGACAGCGGGCUCUGUGCACGUGCCGCCCCAGGCUCGGCCUGCUGGCUCUGGCCGAGGGUCAGCCGGGUCCGGGAGAUCAUCCGUCGGGGCACCAGCACCCGGAGCCAUGGCCUUUUAACAGCUGUGUUCUCUGUCAUGCUGAGCGUCGAGGCCACAGUGGGCCAAGGAUGCCACGUCCUGUCCCGGACCCUGGGGAUGUGGCCUUGCCUGGCACCAGGGACUCACAGCUGGCAUUUCUCCAGGAGGGUCAGAGUCGGGGGCACGCAGGCUGACGCAGAGGCUGGCAUCACAGCAGCUGGGAGGGCGCGCGGCACGGAAGGCCCUUCCCGGGAGCAGGGACCAGCAGGGCUUGGAUCGCACCGGCCCGUCUCUCGGACCCCAUUUCUCUCUUGUGCUGCCUUCACGGACAGCCUCCACGAAGACGCCGCCUUGCGCGGUGUUCGUGUUGGCCGUGGCCUAACGGGCUGACACCUGUCGGGAGUUGAUGCAUAUUUGCCUGGGAGACCACCCUCGUCACUUUCUGGAAUCCCUCGUAGACCGGGGACAGACGGCCUAUGGACACCCUGCAGCUCCUCCCCCAGCUCCCUGCACACGUUGUCAGCCGUCUCCCGACGUCAGCCUCUCUCGCAGUGCUGCGCCCCCCAUGCACGGGCUGGGGGGCCCUGCAACUCGUGCACCAAACGGACAGCACGGCGGCAUUCUGGGCUCCUGGCACAGACGCCACUCUGUUUAGAAACCUGGAGGGGGGAGCCGUGAAGCCCACGGGCUGCCUCCCAGAAGGCCCUGCACGAGACCGUCGUACUUUAUCUUAAGCCAACAGCACAACUUUCUCCUUGGAACACUGUUCAUGUUUACGGCGCAGUGACUUAAGACCACCCGCUUCUCAAGACAGGUUAACCACACACGUACGGCCAGGGGGAGUAUCCUGGAGAGGAGUGAUUUCCAUUCAAGCCGGGGGACGUUUCCUCACCGUCAACACGGUAUUGAUCACACCGGUAGUUUUCUGCCUCACUUUCUCCUAGCCUCCUUUUUCCUUUUUAAAUAUGUUUUCUGAAGUCUCUCCAGAUGAACCAGAGUAACUUCGUUUUUGGAAAAGAACAAAUUUCCCCCAGCAGUGCCAACCCUCCAGCGGCCGAAAUGAGUGGUUCUCAAACAACCUUGGAGAUUCCAGUGCUCCCUCCGCAGAAUUCUAGAACAGCAGCACGUAAUCCGAGUAUUCCGCAGAAGGGCAGACUGCCCAGCGAGCCCAGUAACUAUGCAAACCCUCUGCCCCCUCGGGGCCCAGAGGGGAGGCCUGUAUAAAUGCUACAGCCAGGAAUAAAAGCGAUUUCCCGA